Molecule: ribosomal RNA, 467 nt
Filed under: uncultured bacterium
Lineage: Bacteria
Description: bacterial SSU rRNA
Rfam family: Bacterial small subunit ribosomal RNA
Source: RNAcentral
GACGAACGCUGGCGGCGCGCCUAACACAUGCAAGUCGAACGGGGAAGUUAGCAAUAACUUCUUAGUGGCGAACGGGUGAGUAACGCGUGGACAACCAACCUUCUGGUGGGGGACAACACUUCGAAAGGAGUGCUAAUACCGCAUGAGCUCUAUAGGCCGCAUGGUCUGCAGAGGAAAGGAGCUUCGGCUCCGCGAGAAGACGGGUCCGCGUCUGAUUAGCUAGUUGGAGGGGUAACGGCCCACCAAGGCAACGAUCAGUAGCCGGUCUGAGAGGAUGAACGGCCACACUGGGACUGAGACACGGCCCAGACUCCUACGGGAGGCAGCAGUCGAGAAUAGUCUACAAUGGCCGGAAGGCUGAUAGUGCGACGCCGCGUGUGGGAAGAAGGCCUUCGGGUCGUAAACCUCUGUCAUGGGGGACGAAGGAAGUGACGGUACCCCAAGAGGAAGCCCCUGCUAACUACGUG